AUGAACGCUGGCGGCGUGCCUAAUACCUGCAAGCCGAGCGAACAGACGAGGAGCUUGCUCCUUUGACGUUAGCGGCGGACGGGUGAGUAACACGUGGAUAACCUACCUAUAAGACUGGGAUAACUUCGGGAAACCGGAGCUAAUACCGGAUAACAUGUUGAACCGCAUGGUUCAACAGUGAAAGACGGUCUUGCUGUCACUUAUAGAUGGAUCCGCGCCGCAUUAGCUAGUUGGUAAGGUAACGGCUUACCAAGGCAACGAUGCGUAGCCGACCUGAGAGGGUGAUCGGCCACACUGGAACUGAGACACGGUCCAGACUCCUACGGGAGGCAGCAGUAGGGAAUCUUCCGCAAUGGGCGAAAGCCUGACGGAGCAACGCCGCGUGAGUGAAGAAGGUCUUCGGAUCGUAAAACUCUGUUAUUAGGGAAGAACAAAUGUGUAAGUAACUAUGCACGUCUUGACGGUACCUAAUCAGAAAGCCACGGCUAACUACGUG
Molecule: ribosomal RNA, 496 nt
Filed under: uncultured bacterium
Lineage: Bacteria
Description: partial 16S ribosomal RNA
Rfam family: Bacterial small subunit ribosomal RNA
Source: RNAcentral